Long non-coding RNA from Pyrus x bretschneideri (Chinese white pear), 1364 nucleotides. RefSeq lists it as uncharacterized. Lineage: Eukaryota; Viridiplantae; Streptophyta; Magnoliopsida; Rosales; Rosaceae. The transcript has 8 exons. The record is from RefSeq and is a predicted model, not a curated record.
UGGUCAUCGUGAGGUUUGCUUUUUGUUCUGUUUACCAUACCCAUUUCUACUUUUCUAUUGUUCCGUCUCCAACCUCUUCUUAGCUUUUUCUUUUCGUUCGCUUCUUUCUCUCCAUUCUCACUUUCUGCUUAUUUUCGAACCUAUCUUUUUUUCUCUUCCACGGUAGUGUUCUUCCAGUGAGUUUUGCGUUUUUUCCAAUGUAUCUGAUUUAAUGGAUUUUGUCUUAAAUUUUCUUUUCUUUUUCAUUUUGGGGGUUUGAUAUAUGCGCUUAUUUAGUUUCAGGAAACGCUCAUGUCCCAAUUUUGGGGAUUUCAUGUGCAACUUUGCAAGCCCUUUGUGUUCAAGGAAAUGUUUGUCUUUGUUUUUUGGAAAUUUUGUAUAUGCGUUUGCAAACCAUUUGUGCUUCAGGAGUCACUCACCAAGACAUUGUAGGGCACGAGGUUACAAUUCGGACUCAGGAUAUGCAGGUUAAUUUGGACCUGGGCAACUAUGAAUGCUUCCUAGAUGUGACUCUUAAGAGGGAUAACAACAUUACCACUGACAAGAUAUAUCAGGAGGGAGACAUCAUCAGUUGCUGGAAUCAUUAACCCCGGUUCAGAGGGAUUUCAGAAGCUAUUUUUCGGUCAAGAGGAAAUCGCCAUAGUGGCCAGUGCACUCAAACAUUGAAGCAUCAUGCGCCGCACAUCCUACUACUGAUGUCUUAAUCAACUUUGCUUCAUAUAGAAGUGCUGCUGCUUCUUCCAUAGCUACUCUCAAGCAACCAACCAUUAGAGUUGUGGCAAUCAUUGCUGAAGGUAUACCUGAGUCAGACACUAAGCAAUUGAUUGCAUAUGCAUUGGCAAACAACAAGGUUGUCAUUGGCCCAGCUAUUGUUGGAGGAAUUUAAGCUGGAGCUUUUAAGAUUGGUGACACUGCUGGAACAAUUGAUAACAUUAUUCACUACAAGCUAUACAAGCCUAGAUCUGUUGGUUUUGUCUCCAAAUUUGUAUGUAGCUAAUCCAAUAUCUUGAACUUCAGAUAAUUUGGUUAUUCAUAAGACUUUCAUGAUGUAUAUACCUUAAACAUUUAGCGUAUUAGAAUUGAGUUCAUUCAUUUCUGUCUUCUGCCUUUAUGUUGGCAAGACUGUCCAGGUGAUGGUACAAAAUCACAAUGUUCAUAUGUCCUACCUUUUCUUUUUUGCUUCACUUGCUUGAACGCUGAUGACUGCCUUUCUUCCGUGAUUUGAGUCGAUUUAGGUGGUUCAACACAUAAUUGAUGUUAUUAAGACAUGGGUAGAAUCUGUUUUAGUCAUUUCCAUCAAUAGAAAAGAGGGCCCUGCAAAUGUUUAUGCAGAUCAUUGGGAGCUUAAUUUAUUCGUAUUUAUG